GAUAAACGCUGGCGGCGUGCCUAAUGCAUGCAAGUCGAACGGGUAGUUCUCGCAAGAGAAUUACUAGUGGCAAACGGGUGAGUAACACGUGGGGAUCUGCCCAGUAGUGGGGAACAACUCCGAGAAAUCGGAGCUAAUACCGCAUACGGUCUGUUGUGAAAGCAACGAGACUAAAGCCCUUCGCGGGGUGCUAUUGGAGGAACCUGCGGCUGAUUAGCUAGUUGGUGGGGUAAAGGCCUACCAAGGCGAUGAUCAGUAGCUGGUCUGAGAGGAUGGACAGCCACACUGGGACUGAGAUACGGCCCAGACUCCUACGGGAGCAGCAGCAAGGAAUUUUCGUCAAUGGGGGAAACCCUGAACGAGCAACGCCGCGUGGGCGAAGAAGUCUUUC
This 391-nucleotide ribosomal RNA is filed under the name uncultured bacterium. RNAcentral describes it as "bacterial SSU rRNA". It matches the Rfam family "Bacterial small subunit ribosomal RNA", at positions 28 to 419 of the family's 1533-position model. The record is from RNAcentral.